Molecule: ribosomal RNA, 496 nt
Filed under: uncultured bacterium
Lineage: Bacteria
Description: partial 16S ribosomal RNA
Rfam family: Bacterial small subunit ribosomal RNA
Source: RNAcentral
GAUGAACGCUGGCGGCGUGCCUAAUACAUGCAAGUCGAGCGUACAGAUGAGGAGCUUGCUCCUCUGACGUUAGCGGCGGACGGGUGAGUAACACGUGGAUAACCUACCUAUAAGACUGGGAUAACUUCGGGAAACCGGAGCUAAUACCGGAUAAUAUAUUGAACCGCAUGGUUCAAUAGUGAAAGACGGUUUUGCUGUCACUUAUAGAUGGAUCCGCGCCGCAUUAGCUAGUUGGUAAGGUAACGGCUUACCAAGGCAACGAUGCGUAGCCGACCUGAGAGGGUGAUCGGCCACACUGGAACUGAGACACGGUCCAGACUCCUACGGGAGGCAGCAGUAGGGAAUCUUCCGCAAUGGGCGAAAGCCUGACGGAGCAACGCCGCGUGAGUGAUGAAGGUCUUCGGAUCGUAAAACUCUGUUAUUAGGGAAGAACAAAUGUGUAAGUAACUAUGCACGUCUUGACGGUACCUAAGCAGAAAACCACGGCUAACUACGU